This 253-nucleotide ribosomal RNA is filed under the name uncultured bacterium. Its description in RNAcentral is "partial 16S ribosomal RNA". It matches the Rfam family "Bacterial small subunit ribosomal RNA", at positions 524 to 776 of the family's 1533-position model. The record is from RNAcentral.
UACGGGGGGGGCAAGCGUUGUUCGGAAUUACUGGGCGUAAAGGGCGUGUAGGUGGCCAACUAAGUCAGACGUGAAAUCCCUCGGCUUAACCGGGGAACUGCGUCUGAUACUGGAUGGCUUGAGUGUGGGAGAGGGAUGCGGAAUUCCAGGUGUAGCGGUGAAAUGCGUAGAUAUCUGGAGGAACAUCAGUGGCGAAAGCGGCUUCCUGGUCCAGCACCGACGUUCAGGCACGAAAGCGUGGGGAGCAAACAGG